ACCUUCCAGGUUGCAGCCUGAAUUAGGCUGAUGGCUGGUGGCUUUUUGGUCACCAGCCU
Molecule: small RNA, 59 nt
Filed under: Sodalis glossinidius str. 'morsitans'
Lineage: Bacteria; Pseudomonadati; Pseudomonadota; Gammaproteobacteria; Enterobacterales; Bruguierivoracaceae
Description: Pseudomonas sRNA P26
Rfam family: Pseudomonas sRNA P26
About the family: P26 is conserved across many Gammaproteobacteria species and appears to be consistently located between the DNA directed RNA polymerase (beta subunit) and 50S ribosomal protein L7/L12 genes.
Source: Rfam by way of RNAcentral